RNAcentral lists this ribosomal RNA (448 nucleotides) under uncultured bacterium. RNAcentral's name for it is "bacterial SSU rRNA". It matches the Rfam family "Bacterial small subunit ribosomal RNA", at positions 329 to 793 of the family's 1533-position model. The record is from RNAcentral.
UGCCAGACUCCUACGGGAGGCAGCAGUGGGGGAUAUUGCACAAUGGGGGGAACCCUGAUGCAGCGACGCCGCGUGGGUGAAGGAGUGCUUCGGCAUGUAAAGCCCUAUCGGCAGGGAAGAAGCAAGACGGUACCUGACUAAGAAGCCCCGGCUAACUACGUGCCAGCAGCCGCGGGAAUACGUAGGGGGCAAGCGUUAUCCGGAUUUACUGGGUGUAAAGGGAGCGUAGGCGGUAAUGCAAGUCAGAAGUGAAAGCCCGGGGCUCAACUCCGGGACUGCUUUUGAAACUGUGUUACUAGAUUGCAGGAGAGGUAAGUGGAAUUCCUAGUGUAGCGGUGAAAUGCGUAGAUAUUAGGAGGAACACCAGUGGCGAAGGCGGCUUACUGGACUGUAAAUGACGCUGAGGCUCGAAAGCGUGGGGAGCAAACAGGAUUAGAUACCCGUGUAA